Molecule: long non-coding RNA, 622 nt
Filed under: Bemisia tabaci
Lineage: Eukaryota; Metazoa; Arthropoda; Insecta; Hemiptera; Aleyrodidae
Description: lncRNA ENSSSA2NGG002676
Source: RNAcentral
UAUGACACACAGUUUUACGAAAAAGAAGACGGAAGCUUGGAUUUCAGCAGCACAAGCUCAUGUUUCCAGUUGUUGAAUCAAGAUAACUUAGAUUUAAAUGAAGUUCAUGCCAUUUUACGCGACACCUCCAAUAAUGAACUCAAAAGAGUUUAUGACAAGUAUCAAGUUGCAUCUGUUCAGCGCUGUGCUCCACAAUUGUUACGAGCAGAAGUUAAAUGGUCCCAAAUCGCCGUGCUAGGAAUAGCUUGUUUUAUUGGCAUAGCUGCACUGAUAUCCAUUUUUGUUUUAUGCUGUGCAUACAACAGGUAAAUUUCCCUUGUACUCUUAUUUUAACAUAAAACGUUCCUCGCAAUGAGUUCUUUCCGAUUUGUACUUUUAUAAGAGCUGUGCAAAAAGUAAAGUAAUAGAAUUCAGAGCAAACUUUUCAAAAAGUCUCUCUUCUGAACACUAAUCAUUUAAUGUUGUGAGAAUCAUACCAAUAAUUUAAAAUCAAUUCCAUUUGUUUUUGUAUUUUCGGUUUUACAUACUACGAAAAAUAGGGGUGACAGUCUUUUCUGUGGUUUUUGGAAAAUUUUUGGCUGAUAAUUACAAAGAAUGUUUCAUCAUGCUAAAAUGCAAUCAC